UGGCCAGCUCCACCAGACAAGAUGGGCAGAAGGCAGCACUGCCCCAAGGUGGCACUGCCAGGGACUUCCAUCCCCCUCCAGCCGCCAGAGUGACUGAGGACCAUGGAGAUUGAGAGCCCCAGGAAACACUCCUUACCUGGGCUUUCACAGCCCGAGAGACCACCAGGAUGAACCCCACACACAGCUGCCACCAGGAACCACAGCCCCGGAUCAGGACAGUGAAUUUAGAUAAGAUGCUCUGGAAGGAAC
This 249-nucleotide long non-coding RNA is filed under the name Pan troglodytes (chimpanzee). Its description in RNAcentral is "long non-coding RNA NONPTRT009775". Lineage: Eukaryota; Metazoa; Chordata; Mammalia; Primates; Hominidae. The record is from RNAcentral.